CCUACGGUGGGCAGCAGUGGGGGAUAUUGCACAAUGGGGGAAACCCUGAUGCAGCGACGCCGCGUGAGUGAAGAAGUAUUUCGGUAUGUAAAGCUCUAUCAGCAGGGAAGAAAAUGACAGUACCUGACCAAGAAGCCCCUGCUAACUCCGUGCCAGCAGACACGGUCAUACGUAGGGGGCAAGCGUUAUCCGGAUUUGCUGGGUGUACAGGGAGCGUAGACGGUUAUGUAAGUCUGGAGUGAAAUCCCGGGGCCCAACCCCGGGACUGCUUUGGAAACUGUGUAACUGGAGUACAGGAGGGGCAGGCGGAAUUCCUGGUGUAGCGGGGAAAUGCGUAGAUAUCAGGAGGAACACCGGCGGCGAAGGCGGCCGGCUGGACUGAAACUGACGUUGAGGCUCGAAAGCGUGGGGAGCAAACAGGAUUAGAUACCCUUGUAGUC
This 440-nucleotide ribosomal RNA is filed under the name uncultured bacterium. Its description in RNAcentral is "partial 16S ribosomal RNA". It matches the Rfam family "Bacterial small subunit ribosomal RNA", at positions 338 to 795 of the family's 1533-position model. The record is from RNAcentral.